UCUGCACCAUUUCAGACCAUUUUUACCCAAAACACAGCAGCAAAAAGCACUUGGGGUCCCCAGUGCCACAGCCAGGAAGGGGUGUCCAUCUCCCCCUGGGGCUGAAAAACCCAUGUAGAGCCAAAUCCAGACCAUCUUUACCCAAAAUACAGCAGCAAAAUGCACUUGAGCCCGUGGUGCUGCAGCCAGGAGGGGGUGUCCCCCCCCGGGGGCUGAAAAACCCCCAUAGAGCCAAAUCCACACCAUUUCAGACCAUUUUUACCCAAAAAACACAGCAGAAAGCACUCGGGGUCCCCAGGGGGUGUCCCCCCCACUUUUCUGUGUCCCUGGCACCACUGUGGGGGGGGGGGGGUUUUUUUUUUGGUCCCCCCCCCCCCCCCCGGCGCGGAAGGAAGGAGCCGGGCGCUGCGGUAGAUGUUUAUUUCAAGAAACCCGAAAAAGCUACACAGGGAAUAUGGACCGUUAUAGUGAAGUUUUUAAAAAAUACAGAAGUCACAGAAAUUACACCAACUUGUGCCAGAAUCGUCUGUAAAGCGGUGGG
RNAcentral lists this long non-coding RNA (541 nucleotides) under Calidris pugnax (ruff). Its description in RNAcentral is "lncRNA (ENSCPUG00000002090.1)". The record is from RNAcentral. Lineage: Eukaryota; Metazoa; Chordata; Aves; Charadriiformes; Scolopacidae.